RNAcentral lists this long non-coding RNA (479 nucleotides) under Selaginella moellendorffii. RNAcentral's name for it is "long non-coding RNA (SMOE_LNC000248)". The record is from RNAcentral. Lineage: Eukaryota; Viridiplantae; Streptophyta; Lycopodiopsida; Selaginellales; Selaginellaceae.
CACGGCCCGCGCCUUGAGAGACUAGAACCAUGUGCGAAAGAUUGAAUUUUCAAGUGGCUGCUUUUUCCUCACUGUCUCUGCUUUUCUUUUCGCCUUGCUUUUGCUACGGAGGGAACCCACUACCAAGCAAGUGCUCGCUUUUCAUCCCCUUGUUUAGACGCAUUGGUGAGAAAUCGUCGCGUUGGCAGCACGACAAGAUCCUACUAAAACCGAAAGGAAAAAUCCAGAAGAGCUGAGCUGAAAUGAUACCUGGAGGAAGAUCCGCUUGAGUUCCCGCAAUGCGAAGUAGAGCUUCCUCGCUGGGCUGGCUGCUGACGCUCGCCAUCGUCUCCUCCACCAUCGCCGUCUUCCACUCGCCAAGAUGUAAGUGAAAGCUCUCCAGCUUUUCGCGAGUUCUUUUCGUCUCUCGCUCUUCCCAAGCCUGUGAGUUUGCAAUCACUGCUCCGUCGCUGUUGCGAACUUUUCGCAAGUUCUUCUCG